Xiphophorus couchianus (Monterrey platyfish) is the source of this 139-nucleotide long non-coding RNA. RefSeq lists it as uncharacterized. The transcript has 3 exons. NCBI's taxonomy places the organism in Eukaryota, Metazoa, Chordata, Actinopteri, Cyprinodontiformes, Poeciliidae. The record is from RefSeq and is a predicted model, not a curated record.
AACUUCAAUUGAAAGGUCCAAACUAAUUCCAUGUGUAACAGUGAUUGGGUUAAAUCAGUUAUAAAAAGCCCAAAACACAAGUAGUUCUAAAGGCCAGUUCAGUCCUCCUCUUUAGUAACUGACAGUUCCGCCAUGUUGU